This 414-nucleotide ribosomal RNA is filed under the name uncultured bacterium. RNAcentral's name for it is "bacterial SSU rRNA". It matches the Rfam family "Bacterial small subunit ribosomal RNA", at positions 28 to 454 of the family's 1533-position model. The record is from RNAcentral.
GACGAACGCUUGCGGCGUGCCUAAGAAAUGCAAGUCGAACGGUGUCAGCAAUGGCACAGUGGCGAACGGUCGCGUAACACGUAAGCAACCUGCCCUGGAGUGGGGGAUAACGUUCCGAAAGGGACGCUAAUACCGCAUGUGGUCAGUUUCUCGCAUGGGAGACUGUCUAAAGAUUUAUCGCUCCGGGAUGGGCUUGCGGCCUAUCAGGUAGUUGGCGGGGUAACGCCCACCAAGCCGACGACGGGUAGCUGGUCUGAGAGGACGAUCAGCCGGAUUGGGACUGAGAUACGGCCCAGACUCCUACGGGGGCAGCAAUUAGGAAUCUUGCACAAUGGGCGAAAGCCUGAUGCAGCGACGCCGCGUGGGGACGAAGGGUCUCGGCCUGUAAACCCCUUUUGACAGGGAAGAAGAAUG